GCACGGGUGGCGGAAUGGCAGACGCGUUAGUUUAAGGGGCUAAUGUCAGCAAUGACGUGCGGGUUCGAUCCCCGCCCCGUGCACCA
Molecule: transfer RNA, 86 nt
Filed under: Lentisphaerota bacterium
Lineage: Bacteria; Pseudomonadati; Lentisphaerota
Description: Lentisphaerae bacterium (anaerobic digester metagenome) tRNA-Leu
Rfam family: tRNA
About the family: Transfer RNA (tRNA) molecules are approximately 80 nucleotides in length. Their secondary structure includes four short double-helical elements and three loops (D, anti-codon, and T loops).
Source: RNAcentral